CGGUAAGGGUGGUGGUGCUGGCGGUGGCUAUACUAACCCACACACACACACCCACAUACCCACCCACACACACACAGCCAUAAAUAUUCAAAGACACUCCUAUAUAGAGAAAAAAAACUCGUAAACACACUCAAAACAUCCCCACACAUAACCAGAACAUGUCUAUAUACACCCAAAGAUCGGUGUAUGAGCUCUGAGCUCGCUCCGUAAUGAGGAAGACUGGCUGGAUGACCAGCAGACGAUCGAGGUGAGGUGAAUUACACACACACACACAACAACAACAACAAGAAGUGAAGUGUUGCUAUACUACCGGACAGUCUUCCAAGCACCAAACACUAAAUGACCAGACAAGCACUGCAAGCCUUCACCACAACCUUCCACACUGCCUAUCUUCGUCUAUUAAAGGCUCAGGCAUGUAUAUGGAAGCAAUAAGAGGAAGAAGGACGAGAAGCAGAGGAAGAAGGACGAGAAGCAAAGGAAGAGGACGAAGAGGAAAGGAGAAAUAGAGGCGAAAUAGGAGAGGGAGCCAAGCUGUAAUAUUUAGGUGACCGCUGACUUGUGGCUGAGACGGGCGUGUUGCGAGACCUGGAUGUGGCUUGACCAAGGAAUAUACAAGGCGCUGGACCGAUUUCAAAGCGACAUAGGGCCGGAGAAGAGGAAGAAGUGAUAGAGAGUAGAUAGACGUGAUAACUUACAAGAAAUAUAAAGCGGAACUGUUAAAAGAAGAAAAAGAAGAGGAUGAAGACGAAGAAGAAUUUAAAAAGAAGAAAAAGAGGAAUUCAAUAGGAGAAGAGGAAUUUAAAGAAGAAGAAGAAGAAGAAGAAGAAGAAGAAGAAGAAGAUGAUGAUGAUGAUGAUCCGAUCCUGCAAAACGUAAACAAAACAAGCGGCGAGAGGAGUGAGGAGAGGAGGCGAAAUAGUGAAUACCACGGCCCUAACAUCAACAACAGGGAGCUGGCGACACUAGGAGCAGCAGGAUCAGGAUCAGCCCAGCCACC
This is a long non-coding RNA of Portunus trituberculatus (swimming crab), 997 nucleotides long. RefSeq lists it as uncharacterized. NCBI's taxonomy places the organism in Eukaryota, Metazoa, Arthropoda, Malacostraca, Decapoda, Portunidae. The transcript has 4 exons. The record is from RefSeq and is a predicted model, not a curated record.